RNAcentral lists this ribosomal RNA (442 nucleotides) under uncultured bacterium. Its description in RNAcentral is "partial 16S ribosomal RNA". It matches the Rfam family "Bacterial small subunit ribosomal RNA", at positions 338 to 795 of the family's 1533-position model. The record is from RNAcentral.
CCUACGGGUGGCAGCAGUGGGGAAUAUUGGGCAAUGGGCGCAAGCCUGACCCAGCAACGCCGCGUGAAGGAAGAAGGCUUUCGGGUUGUAAACUUCUUUUAAGAGGGAAGAACAGCAUGCGGUACCUCUUCCAUAAACCACGGCUAACUACGUGCCAUCAGCCGCGGUAAUGCGGAGGGGGCCAGCGUUGUCCGGAUUUACUGGGUGUAACGGGCGUGCAGCCGGGAAGACAAGUCAGAUGUGAAAUCCCGGGGCUCAACCGCGGAACUGCAUUUGAAACUGUUGGGCUUGAGUACCGGAGAGGUCAGCGGAAUUCCUGGUGUAGCGGUGAAAUGCGUAGAUAUAAGGAAGAACACCAGUGGCGAAGGCGGAUGACUGGACGGCAACUGACGGUGAGGCGCGAAAGCGUGGGGAGCAAACAGGAUUAGAUACCCCUGUAGUC